Non-coding RNA from Hordeum vulgare subsp. vulgare (domesticated barley), 226 nucleotides. Lineage: Eukaryota; Viridiplantae; Streptophyta; Magnoliopsida; Poales; Poaceae. The record is from Rfam.
UGUAUUCAAUGAGUAUUUAGCCUUGGCCGAUAGGCCCGGGUAAUCUUGGGAAAUUUCAUCGUGAUGGGGAUAGAUCAUUGCAAUUGUUGGUCUUCAACGCGGAAUGCCUAGUAAGCGCGAGUCAUCAGCUCGCGUUGACUACGUCCCUGCCCUUUGUACACACCGCCCGUCGCUCCUACCGAUUGAAUGGUCCGGUGAAGUGUUCGGAUCGCGGCGACGGGGGCGG